Molecule: ribosomal RNA, 438 nt
Filed under: uncultured bacterium
Lineage: Bacteria
Description: partial 16S ribosomal RNA
Rfam family: Bacterial small subunit ribosomal RNA
Source: RNAcentral
CUACGGGCGGCUGCAGUGGGGAAUAUUGCACAAUGGAGGAAACUCUGAUGCAGCAACGCCGCGUGGAGGAUGACACUUUUCGGAGCGUAAACUCCUUUUAUAUAGGAAGAAGAUGACGGUACUAUAUGAAUAAGCGCCGGCUAACUCCGUGCCAGCAGUCGCGGUAAUACGGAGGGCGCAAGCGUUACUCGGAAUCACUGGGCGUAAAGAGCGUGUAGGCGGAUUAAAAAGUCAGAAGUGAAAUCCUAUAGCUUAACUAUAGAACUGCUUCUGAAACUCUUAAUCUAGAAUAUGGGAGAGGUAGAUGGAAUUUCUGGUGUAGGGGUAAAAUCCGUAGAGAUCAGAAGGAAUACCGAUUGCGAAGGCGAUCUACUAGAACAUUAUUGACGCUGAGACGCGAAAGCGUGGGGAGCAAACAGGAUAGAUACCCCAGUAGUC